Molecule: non-coding RNA, 136 nt
Organism: Actinoplanes friuliensis DSM 7358
Lineage: Bacteria; Bacillati; Actinomycetota; Actinomycetes; Micromonosporales; Micromonosporaceae
Source: Rfam
CUCACCGGUCGCAAGAGUGGGAGUCCACGUGCGGCGACGCCGCGGAGGAAGCCGGUGCGAGUCCGGCGCGGUCCCGCCACUGUCACAGGGUCCUGAUAGACCUUGCAGCCAGGAACUCCGGUCGCCGUGAAUUCCU